GCAUUUGUAUGGUCUGGAGAAGCUUACUUGUCUUAUAGUUUAGCUGCUUUAUCUGUGUUUGGUUUUAUCGCUUGUUGUUUUGUAUGGUUCAAUAAUACAGCUUAUCCGAGUGAGUUUUAUGGACCCACCGGGCCAGAAGCUUCUCAAGCUCAAGCAUUUAAUUUUCUUGUUAGACACCAGCGUCUUGGAGCUAAUGUGGAUCUGCUCAAGGACCCACAGGUUUAG
Molecule: ribosomal RNA, 225 nt
Filed under: Triticum aestivum (bread wheat)
Lineage: Eukaryota; Viridiplantae; Streptophyta; Magnoliopsida; Poales; Poaceae
Description: partial small subunit ribosomal RNA
Source: RNAcentral